GUUUACAUGGAUAACUGUGGUWAUUCUAGAGCUAAUACAUGCACCCAGUCCGUUCCCUCGUGGAGCGGAUGCAGUUAUUUGCCCAAAACCAAUCCGGCCUUCGGGUCGGUCAAUUGGUGACUCUGAAUAACCGAAGCGGAGCGCAUGGUCUCGUACCGGCGCCAGAUCUUUCAAGUGUCUGACUUAUCAGCUUGUUGUUAGGUUAUGUUCCUAACAAGGCAUCAACGGGUAACGGAGUGUCAGGGCCCGACACCGGAGAGGGAGCCUGAGAAACGGCUACCACAUCCAAGGAAGGCAGCAGGCGCGCAAAUUACCCACUCCCGGCACGGGGAGGUAGUGACGAAAAAUAACGAUGCGAGAGCUUUAUGCUCCUCGUAAUCGGAAUGGGUACACUUUAAAUCCUUUAACGAGGAUCUAUUGGAGGGCAAGUCUGGUGCCAGCAGCCGCGGUAAUUCCAGCUCCAAUAGCGUAUAUUAAAGUUGCUGCGGUUAAAAAGCUCGUAGUUGGAUCUGGGUAGUCGAUGGACGGUGCGCUUUACGGCGUCUACUGUUCGUUCGGCACCACAUGCCGGCCAUGUCUUGCAUGCUCUUCACUGAGUGUGCUUGGCGACCGGAACGUUUACUUUGAAAAAAUUAGAGUGCUCAAAGCAGGCGUUAAGCCUUGCAUAAUGGUGCAUGGAAUAAUAGAAUAGGACCUCGGUUCUAUUUUGUUGGUUUUCGGAGCUCGAGGUAAUGAUUAAUAGGAACAGACGGGGGCAUUCGUAUUGCGGCGUUAGAGGUGAAAUUCUUGGAUCGUCGCAAGACGCAC
Molecule: ribosomal RNA, 807 nt
Filed under: Acutuncus sp. PC-2013
Lineage: Eukaryota; Metazoa; Tardigrada; Eutardigrada; Parachela; Hypsibiidae
Description: SSU rRNA
Rfam family: Eukaryotic small subunit ribosomal RNA
Source: RNAcentral